GAUUAGUUCAGCUGGAUAGAAUGUCUGCCUACGGAGCAGAUGGUCGUAGGUUCGAAUCCUGCAUCGGGUAUUCA
This 74-nucleotide transfer RNA is filed under the name Perkinsus olseni. Its description in RNAcentral is "tRNA-Arg". It matches the Rfam family "tRNA". From Rfam's summary of the family: Transfer RNA (tRNA) molecules are approximately 80 nucleotides in length. Their secondary structure includes four short double-helical elements and three loops (D, anti-codon, and T loops). The record is from RNAcentral. Lineage: Eukaryota; Perkinsozoa; Perkinsida; Perkinsidae.